Molecule: ribosomal RNA, 497 nt
Filed under: Zalerion sp. T2N16c
Lineage: Eukaryota; Fungi; Ascomycota; Sordariomycetes; Lulworthiales; Lulworthiaceae
Description: eukaryotic LSU rRNA
Rfam family: 5.8S ribosomal RNA (bases 178-331)
Source: RNAcentral
CAUUAUAGUAUAUCUAUAUCUAGGAUGUGGGGUGCUCUCGGGUACCCUCUCCGCCAAACCUUGCAAAUUUGAACUUAAUAGUUACCUUGGUAGGCUCAACUGCCUGUGGAUAAAUCUAAAUUCUUUAAUAAACUGGCUGUAAUUAAUGUAAAUGUCUGAAUAUAAUAUUAAUAUUAAAACUUUCAACAACGGAUCUCUUGGUUCUGGCAUCGAUGAAGAACGCAGCGAAAUGCGAUAAGUAGUGUGAAUUGCAGAAUUCAGUGAAUCAUCGAAUCUUUGAACGCACAUUGCGCCCCUCGGUAUCCCGGGGGGCAUGCCUGUUCGAGCGUCAUUUCUACCACUCAAGUUUAACUUGGUAUUGGGCAUCGUUAUGAAAAUUUUAACGUGCUUUAAAUGUAGACGGCAACAAUUCCCCAGCUUAGAGCGUAGCAGUAAAACAUUUUCGCUUUAAAAGCUGCUGGGUCUUGUUUACCGCAUAGUUUUUACUACAGUUUGAC